UACGAAGGGAGCUAGCGUUGCUCGGAAUCACUGGGCGUAAAGGGUGCGUAGGCGGGUCUUUAAGUCAGGGGUGAAAUCCUGGAGCUCAACUCCAGAACUGCCUUUGAUACUGAAGAUCUUGAGUUCGGGAGAGGUGAGUGGAACUGCGAGUGUAGAGGUGAAAUUCGUAGAUAUUCGCAAGAACACCAGUGGCGAAGGCGGCUCACUGGCCCGAUACUGACGCUGAGGUGCGAAAGCGUGGGGAGCAAACAGG
This 253-nucleotide ribosomal RNA is filed under the name uncultured bacterium. Its description in RNAcentral is "partial 16S ribosomal RNA". It matches the Rfam family "Bacterial small subunit ribosomal RNA", at positions 524 to 776 of the family's 1533-position model. The record is from RNAcentral.